Molecule: ribosomal RNA, 724 nt
Filed under: uncultured Pseudomonadota bacterium
Lineage: Bacteria; Pseudomonadati; Pseudomonadota
Description: bacterial SSU rRNA
Rfam family: Bacterial small subunit ribosomal RNA
Source: RNAcentral
AGUCGAACGGUAACAGGAAGCAGCUUGCUGUUUCGCUGACGAGUGGCGGACGGGUGAGUAAUGUCUGGGAAACUGCCUGAUGGAGGGGGAUAACUACUGGAAACGGUAGCUAGUACCGCAUAACGUCGCAAGACCAAAGAGGGGGACCUUCGGGCCUCUUGCCAUCGGAUGUGCCCAGAUGGGAUUAGCUAGUAGGUGGGGUAACGGCUCACCUAGGCGACGAUCCCUAGCUGGUCUGAGAGGAUGACCAGCCACACUGGAACUGAGACACGGUCCAGACUCCUACGGGAGGCAGCAGUGGGGAAUAUUGCACAAUGGGCGCAAGCCUGAUGCAGCCAUGCCGCGUGUAUGAAGAAGGCCUUCGGGUUGUAAAGUACUUUCAGCGGGGAGGGAGGGAGUAAAGUUAAUACCUUUGCUCAUUGACGUUACCCGCAGAAGAAGCACCGGCUAACUCCGUGCCAGCAGCCGCGGUAAUACGGAGGGUGCAAGCGUUAAUCGGAAUUACUGGGCGUAAAGCGCACGCAGGCGGUUUGUUAAGUCAGAUGUGAAAUCCCCGGGCUCAACCUGGGAACUGCAUCUGAUACUGGCAAGCUUGAGUCUCGUAGAGGGGGGUAGAAUUCCAGGUGUAGCGGUGAAAUGCGUAGAGAUCUGGAGGAAUACCGGUGGCGAAGGCGGCCCCCUGGACGAAGACUGACGCUCAGGUGCGAAAGCGUGGGGAGCAAAC